UGAUAAGGUUUACGGUCCCAGCGGUGAUUUGCAGCUCCUGCUCCACAGCGCAGGUCGCUGAGCUCGGAGAAGGACAAUGAACUGAUCCAGAUCACAUAAAUGGUUUUGGGGACAGAGUACCCUGGCGGUUUGAAAAUGCCCACCUACCCUGGAUUUCAUCAUAGAAAGAGGCGUGCCUUCUCUUCACAUCAAUGACAUUGGAUUGCACAAGGAUCUCCUGGUUCUGUCUUCUUGACAAGAGGAGAAUGCAGCUCAGAAAAGGGAAGGCUGGAAACAAAUAAAGUGAGCCAUCUGUAGGCCUUCACCAUGGUGUGGCAGAAAAGUGGUGAAGGGUGAAAGGCCACAGACUCGCUGCCACGCGUGCUGUCAUGUGACAUCAGUCCCAUGUUGAACUUGUGAGGUGUCUCUUUGGUGUGGCUGGAAAGUGAAAAGCAUGCCCUGCAAACAAUAUCUGACUUUUGUAAAUUUAUUUUUAAUAAGCAUACUUUACAGUAGCCUCUUUUACAUACAGUUUUAUGAUACCUGACAGAGGCCAGUGUAACCAUCAACACAAUGAGGAUAUAGGAGAGCUCCAUUAACACACAGCAACUGCUUUCUGUUCAAACCCUUCAUAUUCAAAUACUCCACCUACCCAGUAACCCUGCAGACCACCAUCAGUUCUUCAUCCCUCUAGCUUUGCCUUUUACACGAUGUCAUAUAAAUGGAAAUCUGGAUUUGUUCAUUUGCAUAAUGUGUAAUGUAUUCGAGAUCCAUCCCUGUUGUUGUGUCUAUCAGUAAUCUGUUCUUGUUUGUGGCCCUGGGGCAUUCUAUUGUAUGGAUACCCCAGGGCUUGUUCAUCCAUGCAUCAGUUGAAGGACAUUUGGGUUGUUCCCAGGUUUGGGUGAUUACCAAGGAAACUGCUAUAAAUAUUUACAUCCAUGUUUCUGUGUGACCUAAGUUUUUGUGUCCUUGGGUAAAUACCUAGAAGUAGAAGAGCUGAAUCUGGGAUGAGUACAAGUUUAACUUUGUAAGAAAUUGCCAAACUGUUUGUAAAGUGAUUGUAUCAUUUUGCAUCCCCACCUGCAACGUAUCACAAUACUAGUCUACCAUCUCGCCAACACUUAGUAUUGUCAGGUACUAUUAUUGUCAUUGUGGUUGUAGCAAUUCUAGAGAGUGUGGGGUGGCAUUUUAUUCUGGAUUUAAUCUGCAUUCUCCUUAUUACUGAUGAUGUUGAGCAUCUAUUCAUACCUGCCAUCAUAUAUUUUCUUCAGUGAAAUGUAUGUUCAAACAUUUUGUCCCAUGUUAGAUGAGUUAUUUCCUU
Molecule: long non-coding RNA, 1300 nt
Organism: Mustela erminea (ermine)
Lineage: Eukaryota; Metazoa; Chordata; Mammalia; Carnivora; Mustelidae
Exons: 3
Source: RefSeq, a predicted model, not a curated record